RNAcentral lists this ribosomal RNA (504 nucleotides) under Triticum aestivum (bread wheat). RNAcentral's name for it is "partial small subunit ribosomal RNA". Lineage: Eukaryota; Viridiplantae; Streptophyta; Magnoliopsida; Poales; Poaceae. The record is from RNAcentral.
AUGGCGGCGGGGGCGUGGGCCGCGCUCAGGUCGGUCGUGAAGCCCUGCAUCGCCGGCUCCCUCAUCGGCCUCACCGUCUCCGACCGCUACUUCACGGUCGCCGCCGUCCGAGGCGCCUCCAUGCACCCUACCUUCGAGGGCAGGACAGGUGAAUACGCGUUGGUGGAGCGGCUCUGCCUCGAGCGCUAUGACUUCUCCCGCGGCGACGUCGUCACCUUCGUGACGCCGGUAGACCACCAGAGGAAGGCGAUCAAGAGGGUGAUUGGGCUGCCCGGCGACUGGAUCAGCGUCCCGGAGACGGAGGAGAUCCGGAAGAUACCGGAGGGCCACUGCUGGCUCGAAGGGGACAAUGGCAGCGUCAGCCAGGACUCGAGAGCCUAUGGCCCAGUGCCGAUUGGUCUGGUGCAGGGGAGGGUGACACACGUGGUGUGGCCGCCCCGCAAGAUAGGCCGCGUCGACAAAAGGGUACCGGAAGGAAGGGUCAUGCCGCAUCGGAAUCUCUAG